RNAcentral lists this non-coding RNA (473 nucleotides) under Pongo abelii (Sumatran orangutan). Lineage: Eukaryota; Metazoa; Chordata; Mammalia; Primates; Hominidae. The record is from RNAcentral.
AUGUACAACCUCACAUAGAGUUCCUGACCAGACAAGACUCGCUGGAAAUUUCCCAGGAUCUUCCUUCCUUAAGAGGAAUCAAAAGAAGGAAGAAGAAUAGAAUGAUUUGGAGGAAGAGAAGGAGAAAGUAGAGGAGUUGAAAAAAAGGAAGAAAAGGAAAAAUGCAGAAUCCUUUGUCAAUCCAACAGAAUACAGCAAAAAAGCAAAGAAAGUGAAAGCAUAGAUUUGCUUGUAAGUAGAUAAUGCAUCAUGAGCAUCUUCUCUACUGAUGAAAAUCUUUCGGUGUUGGGAUCUAUUUAUAACUGCAUCAUCACAAACAUGAUCUAAUCAAGAGUCACUCCUUGCAGGAAUGUUCACGUUUCCUUCGUCUCUUAAAAGAUAUCCCUCUAGUACAAAAAUUAGCUCGACGUGGUGGCGGGCAUCUGUAAUCCCAGCUACUCUGGAGGCUGAGGCAGCAGAAUUGCUUGAACUCG